This 2932-nucleotide ribosomal RNA is filed under the name Enterobacter asburiae. RNAcentral's name for it is "23S ribosomal RNA". It matches the Rfam family "Bacterial large subunit ribosomal RNA". Lineage: Bacteria; Pseudomonadati; Pseudomonadota; Gammaproteobacteria; Enterobacterales; Enterobacteriaceae. The record is from RNAcentral.
GGGUUGUGAGGUUAAGCGACUAAGCGUACACGGUGGAUGCCCUGGCAGUCAGAGGCGAUGAAGGACGUGCUAAUCUGCGAAAAGCGCCGGCGAGGUGAUAUGAACCUUUGACCCGGCGAUGUCCGAAUGGGGAAACCCAGUGUGUUUCGACACACUAUCGUUAACUGAAUACAUAGGUUAACGAGGCGAACCGGGGGAACUGAAACAUCUAAGUACCCCGAGGAAAAGAAAUCAACCGAGAUUCCCCCAGUAGCGGCGAGCGAACGGGGAGCAGCCCAGAGUCUGAAUCAGCUUGUGUGUUAGUGGAACGGUCUGGAAAGUCCGGCGAUACAGGGUGACAGCCCCGUACACGAAAAUGCACAGGCUGUGAACUCGAAGAGUAGGGCGGGACACGUGGUAUCCUGUCUGAAUAUGGGGGGACCAUCCUCCAAGGCUAAAUACUCCUGACUGACCGAUAGUGAACCAGUACCGUGAGGGAAAGGCGAAAAGAACCCCGGCGAGGGGAGUGAAAAAGAACCUGAAACCGUGUACGUACAAGCAGUGGGAGCACCUUCGUGGUGUGACUGCGUACCUUUUGUAUAAUGGGUCAGCGACUUAUAUUCUGUAGCAAGGUUAACCGUAUAGGGGAGCCGAAGGGAAACCGAGUCUUAACUGGGCGUUAAGUUGCAGGGUAUAGACCCGAAACCCGGUGAUCUAGCCAUGGGCAGGUUGAAGGUUGGGUAACACUAACUGGAGGACCGAACCGACUAAUGUUGAAAAAUUAGCGGAUGACUUGUGGCUGGGGGUGAAAGGCCAAUCAAACCGGGAGAUAGCUGGUUCUCCCCGAAAGCUAUUUAGGUAGCGCCUCGUGAACUCAUCUUCGGGGGUAGAGCACUGUUUCGGCUAGGGGGCCAUCCCGGCUUACCAACCCGAUGCAAACUACGAAUACCGAAGAAUGUUAUCACGGGAGACACACGGCGGGUGCUAACGUCCGUCGUGAAGAGGGAAACAACCCAGACCGCCAGCUAAGGUCCCAAAGUCAUGGUUAAGUGGGAAACGAUGUGGGAAGGCACAGACAGCCAGGAUGUUGGCUUAGAAGCAGCCAUCAUUUAAAGAAAGCGUAAUAGCUCACUGGUCGAGUCGGCCUGCGCGGAAGAUGUAACGGGGCUAAACCAUGCACCGAAGCUGCGGCAGCGACACUAUGUGUUGUUGGGUAGGGGAGCGUUCUGUAAGCCGUUGAAGGUGUGCUGUGAGGCAUGCUGGAGGUAUCAGAAGUGCGAAUGCUGACAUAAGUAACGAUAAAGCGGGUGAAAAGCCCGCUCGCCGGAAGACCAAGGGUUCCUGUCCAACGUUAAUCGGGGCAGGGUGAGUCGACCCCUAAGGCGAGGCCGAAAGGCGUAGUCGAUGGGAAACAGGUUAAUAUUCCUGUACUUGGUGUUACUGCGAAGGGGGGACGGAGAAGGCUAUGUUAGCCGGGCGACGGUUGUCCCGGUUUAAGCAUGUAGGCGGAGGUUCCAGGUAAAUCCGGUACCUUAUUAACGCUGAGGUGUGAUGACGAGGCACUACGGUGCUGAAGUAACAAAUGCCCUGCUUCCAGGAAAAGCCUCUAAGCAUCAGGUAACAUUAAAUCGUACCCCAAACCGACACAGGUGGUCAGGUAGAGAAUACCAAGGCGCUUGAGAGAACUCGGGUGAAGGAACUAGGCAAAAUGGUGCCGUAACUUCGGGAGAAGGCACGCUGAUAUGUAGGUGAAGCCCCUGCGGGUGGAGCUGAAAUCAGUCGAAGAUACCAGCUGGCUGCAACUGUUUAUUAAAAACACAGCACUGUGCAAACACGAAAGUGGACGUAUACGGUGUGACGCCUGCCCGGUGCCGGAAGGUUAAUUGAUGGGGUUAGCGGUAACGCGAAGCUCUUGAUCGAAGCCCCGGUAAACGGCGGCCGUAACUAUAACGGUCCUAAGGUAGCGAAAUUCCUUGUCGGGUAAGUUCCGACCUGCACGAAUGGCGUAAUGAUGGCCAGGCUGUCUCCACCCGAGACUCAGUGAAAUUGAACUCGCUGUGAAGAUGCAGUGUACCCGCGGCAAGACGGAAAGACCCCGUGAACCUUUACUAUAGCUUGACACUGAACACUGGUCCUUGAUGUGUAGGAUAGGUGGGAGGCUUUGAAGCGUGGACGCCAGUCUGCGUGGAGCCGUCCUUGAAAUACCACCCUUUAAUGGCUGGUGUUCUAACGUAGACCCGUGAUCCGGGUUGCGGACAGUGUCUGGUGGGUAGUUUGACUGGGGCGGUCUCCUCCCAAAGAGUAACGGAGGAGCACGAAGGUUAGCUAAUCCUGGUCGGACAUCAGGAGGUUAGUGCAAUGGCAUAAGCUAGCUUGACUGCGAGAGUGACGGCUCGAGCAGGUGCGAAAGCAGGUCAUAGUGAUCCGGUGGUUCUGAAUGGAAGGGCCAUCGCUCAACGGAUAAAAGGUACUCCGGGGAUAACAGGCUGAUACCGCCCAAGAGUUCAUAUCGACGGCGGUGUUUGGCACCUCGAUGUCGGCUCAUCACAUCCUGGGGCUGAAGUAGGUCCCAAGGGUAUGGCUGUUCGCCAUUUAAAGUGGUACGCGAGCUGGGUUUAGAACGUCGUGAGACAGUUCGGUCCCUAUCUGCCGUGGGCGCUGGAGAAUUGAGGGGGGCUGCUCCUAGUACGAGAGGACCGGAGUGGACGCAUCACUGGUGUUCGGGUUGUCAUGCCAAUGGCACUGCCCGGUAGCUAAAUGCGGAAAAGAUAAGUGCUGAAAGCAUCUAAGCACGAAACUUGCCCCGAGAUGAGUUCUCCCUGAGACUUUAAGUCUCCUGAAGGAACGUUGAAGACGACGACGUUGAUAGGUCGGGUGUGUAAGCGCAGCGAUGCGUUGAGCUAACCGAUACUAAUGAACCGUGAGGCUUAACCUUACAACGCCGAAGGUGUUU